Molecule: transfer RNA, 88 nt
Filed under: Pseudomonas aeruginosa
Lineage: Bacteria; Pseudomonadati; Pseudomonadota; Gammaproteobacteria; Pseudomonadales; Pseudomonadaceae
Also listed under: 9134 other names
Description: tRNA-Ser
Rfam family: tRNA
About the family: Transfer RNA (tRNA) molecules are approximately 80 nucleotides in length.
Source: RNAcentral
GGAAGUGUGGCCGAGCGGUUGAAGGCACCGGUCUUGAAAACCGGCGACCCGAAAGGGUUCCAGAGUUCGAAUCUCUGCGCUUCCGCCA